RNAcentral lists this ribosomal RNA (397 nucleotides) under uncultured bacterium. RNAcentral's name for it is "partial 16S ribosomal RNA". It matches the Rfam family "Bacterial small subunit ribosomal RNA", at positions 523 to 918 of the family's 1533-position model. The record is from RNAcentral.
AUACGUAGGUGACAAGCGUUAUCCGGAUUUACUGGGCGUAAAGGGCGUGUAGGCGGUCUUGCAAGUCAGAAGUGAAAUUCCUGAGCUCAACUCGGGCGCUGCUUCUGAAACUGCAGGACUUGAGUGCUGGAGGGGAUAGCGGAAUUCCUAGUGGAGCGGUAAAAUGCGCAGAUAUUAGGAAGAACACCGGUGGCGAAGGCGGCUAUCUGGACAGUAACUGACGCUGAGGCGCGAAAGCGGGGGGAGCAAACAGGAUUAGAUCCCCUGGUAGUCCACGCCGUAAACGAUGAAUACUAGGUGUAGGGGGUAUCGACUCCCUCUGUGCCGCAGUUAACACAAUAAGUAUUCCGCCUGGGGAGUACGGCCGCAAGGUUGAAACUCAAAUGAAUUGACGGGG